UUUCCGUAGGUGAACCUGCGGAAGGAUCAUUAAUGAGUUGUCAUGGGGUUCGAUGCUGGCAGCCAGUUUUUGGAUGCAUGUGCUUGCCCUAACAAUCAUCUUCUUCCAAACACCUGUGCACAUCUUUGAGGGAGUCUUGAGUUGGUUGCCGCUCUUGGGUGAUUUUCUCACAUUCCCUUAAAUCAUUAUACGCUAUUAACAAUGUUGAACGUGCUCUGUGCCGCAAGGCCAUUAAUAUAAUACAACUUUUAACAACGGAUCUCUUGGCUCUC
RNAcentral lists this unclassified non-coding RNA (272 nucleotides) under plant metagenome. RNAcentral's name for it is "partial contains small subunit ribosomal RNA, internal transcribed spacer 1, and 5.8S ribosomal RNA". The record is from RNAcentral.